UACGUAGGUGGCAAGCGUUGCCCGGAUUUACUGGGCGUAAAGGGAGCGUAGGUGGAUAUUUAAGUGGGAUGUGAAAUCCCCAGGCUUAACCUGGGGGCUGCAUUCCAAACUGGAUGUCUAGAGUGCAGGAGAGGAGAGUGGAAUUCCUAGUGUAGCGGUGAAAUGCGUAGAGAUUAGGAAGAACACCAGUGGCGAAGGCGACUCUCUGGACUGUAACUGACACUGAGGCUCGAAAGCGUGGGGAGCAAACAGG
Molecule: ribosomal RNA, 253 nt
Filed under: uncultured bacterium
Lineage: Bacteria
Description: partial 16S ribosomal RNA
Rfam family: Bacterial small subunit ribosomal RNA
Source: RNAcentral